GGGGUCUUAGCUCAGCUGGGAGAGCAUCUGCCUUACAAGCAGAGGGUCAUAGGUUCGAGCCCUAUAGGCCCC
Molecule: transfer RNA, 72 nt
Filed under: Lachnospiraceae bacterium
Lineage: Bacteria; Bacillati; Bacillota; Clostridia; Lachnospirales; Lachnospiraceae
Also listed under: 2 other names
Description: tRNA-Val
Rfam family: tRNA
About the family: Transfer RNA (tRNA) molecules are approximately 80 nucleotides in length. Their secondary structure includes four short double-helical elements and three loops (D, anti-codon, and T loops). Further hydrogen bonds mediate the characteristic L-shaped molecular structure. tRNAs have two regions of fundamental functional importance: the anti-codon, which is responsible for specific mRNA codon recognition, and the 3' end, to which the tRNAs corresponding amino acid is attached (by aminoacyl-tRNA synthetases). tRNAs cope with the degeneracy of the genetic code in two manners: having more than one tRNA (with a specific anti-codon) for a particular amino acid; and 'wobble' base-pairing, i.e. permitting non-standard base-pairing at the 3rd anti-codon position.
Source: RNAcentral